This 443-nucleotide ribosomal RNA is filed under the name uncultured bacterium. Its description in RNAcentral is "partial 16S ribosomal RNA". It matches the Rfam family "Bacterial small subunit ribosomal RNA", at positions 338 to 795 of the family's 1533-position model. The record is from RNAcentral.
CCUACGGGUGGCUGCAGUGGGGAAUAUUGGGCAAUGGGCGCAAGCCUGACCCAGCAACGCCGCGUGAAGGAAGAAGGCUUUCGGGUUGUAAACUCCUUUUGUCAGGGACGCAGCAAGUGACGGUACCUGACGACUAAGCCACGGCUAACUACGUGCCAGCAGCCGCGGUAAUACGUAGGUGGCAAGCGUUCUCCGGAUUUAUUGGGUGUAAAGGGCGUGUAGGCGGGAAUGGUAGUCAGAUGGGAAUACUAUGGGGUCAACCCAUAGCGUGCAUUUGAAACUGGAUUUCUUGAGUGCUGGAGAGGCAAUCGGAAUUCCGGGUGUAGCGGUGAAAUGCGUAGAUAUACGGAGGAACACCAGUGGCGAAGGCGGAUUGCUGUACAGUAACUGACGCUGAGGCACGAAGGCCAGGGGAGCGAAAGGGAUUAGAUACCCGUGUAGUC